This 473-nucleotide ribosomal RNA is filed under the name uncultured bacterium. RNAcentral describes it as "partial 16S ribosomal RNA". It matches the Rfam family "Bacterial small subunit ribosomal RNA", at positions 36 to 538 of the family's 1533-position model. The record is from RNAcentral.
AACGAACGCUGGCGGCAUGCCUAACACAUGCAAGUCGAACGAGACCUUCGGGUCUAGUGGCGCACGGGUGCGUAACGCGUGGGAACCUGCCCUUAGGUUCGGAAUAACUCCCCGAAAGGGGUGCUAAUACCGGAUAAUGUCUUCGGACCAAAGAUUUAUCGCCUUUGGAUGGGCCCGCGUUGGAUUAGCUAGUUGGUAGGGUAAAAGCCUACCAAGGCGACGAUCCAUAGCUGGUCUGAGAGGAUGAUCAGCCACACUGGGACUGAGACACGGCCCAGACAGGGAGGGGGGGCAGGAGGGGUGAUAGUUGCGGGAGGGGAGAAAGCUGAACAAAUGAAGGCGGUGUGAGGGAGGAGGGCUUUAGGUUGGGAAAUUGCUGUUCCGGGGGAUAAUAAAGCGAGUAGGGGGGGAAUAAUGUCCGCCAAAAUCCGUCCGAGCAGCGGAAGUAAAAAGCGAAGAGCACAGGCCUGAAU